GGGAGAUAAGACACACAAUAGAUCUACUAAUUAUGUAGUUAAGCUAGGCAAAUAGGUUUAAAUGUAAAUAGCAGGGUUGUGAAAAAGUAAUUAUUCAGUUGAUUAAUAGGGGUUUUAAGACAGAUAUGGAAAGCGUUAAGACUUAGGGUUUCUAUUCAGACAAUCAGGAUUAUAGAGAUAUAGAUACUAAGCAUGUAUUGGAUAUUCUAGAACUCAAACAAUAAGAAUAGUCGAUCAACUUUCGUAUUUUUAGACUAUCUAUCACCAGAUCUAGGACAUCCGCUGUCACUUGUUGGUCCUAAGAAAGUGUCGAUCGAUUCCAACAUCGGAGUGUUGAUCGAUACA
RNAcentral lists this long non-coding RNA (345 nucleotides) under Brassica napus (rape). RNAcentral's name for it is "long non-coding RNA (BNAP_LNC021366)". Lineage: Eukaryota; Viridiplantae; Streptophyta; Magnoliopsida; Brassicales; Brassicaceae. The record is from RNAcentral.